AGUGAACGCUGGCGGUAGGCCUAACACAUGCAAGUCGAACGGCAGCACAGUAAGAGCUUGCUCUUACGGGUGGCGAGUGGCGGACGGGUGAGGAAUACAUCGGAAUCUACUUUUUCGGGGGGGAUAACGUAGGGAAACUUACGCUAAUACCGCAUACGACCUACGGGUGAAAGCAGGGGAUCUUCGGACCUUGCGCGAUUGAAUGAGCCGAUGUCGGAUUAGCUAGUUGGCGGGGUAAAGGCCCACCAAGGCGACGAUCCGUAGCUGGUCUGAGAGGAUGAUCAGCCACACGGGAACUGAGACACGGUCCAGACUCCUACGGGAGGCAGCAGUGGGGAAUAUUGGACAAUGGGCGCAAGCCUGCUCCAGCCAUACCGCGUGGGUGAAGAAGGCCUGCGGGUUGUAAAGCCCUUUUGUUGGGGAAGAAAAGCAGCAGGUUAAUACCCCGCUGUUCGGACGGUACCCAAAGAAUAAGCACCGGCUAACUUCGG
Molecule: ribosomal RNA, 491 nt
Filed under: uncultured bacterium
Lineage: Bacteria
Description: partial 16S ribosomal RNA
Rfam family: Bacterial small subunit ribosomal RNA
Source: RNAcentral